GAUGAACGCUGGCGGCGUGCCUAAUACAUGCAAGUCGAGCGAACAGACGAGGAGCUUGCUCCUCUGACGUUAGCGGCGGACGGGUGAGUAACACGUGGAUAACCUACCUAUAAGACUGGGAUAACUUCGGGAAACCGGAGCUAAUACCGGAUAAUAUAUUGAACCGCAUGGUUCAAUAGUGAAAGACGGUUUUGCUGUCACUUAUAGAUGGAUCCGCGCCGCAUUAGCUAGUUGGUAAGGUAACGGCUUACCAAGGCAACGAUGCGUAGCCGACCUUAGAGGGUGGUGGGCAACAGUGGAAAGGAACCCGGGCCCAGACUCCGGGGGGGGGCACAAGGGGGGAACCUCCGGGAAGGGGCAAAGGUUGGACGGACCAACGGCGGGGGAGGAAAAAGGGUUUGGGAACCAAAAACCUUUUUUAUGGGGAAAAAAAAAAGGUUAAAGAAACAAUGCACUUCUGAAGGUGACUUAAUAGAAAGCCCCCGACAACCUCGGGC
This 497-nucleotide ribosomal RNA is filed under the name uncultured bacterium. Its description in RNAcentral is "partial 16S ribosomal RNA". It matches the Rfam family "Bacterial small subunit ribosomal RNA", at positions 28 to 508 of the family's 1533-position model. The record is from RNAcentral.